Molecule: RNA transcript, 2337 nt
Organism: Paralichthys olivaceus (Japanese flounder)
Lineage: Eukaryota; Metazoa; Chordata; Actinopteri; Pleuronectiformes; Paralichthyidae
Gene: clasrp
Gene name: CLK4-associating serine/arginine rich protein
Source: RefSeq, a predicted model, not a curated record
CAGCUGGCUGAGGUCGGCGCUGCGCAGACUAGCCCUCAGUGAACGGAGGUGAAGGAGGCGUGUGACACUCCCGCUGCAUCGCCCUCACUUGGCCGAGAACAACCCCAGUGUGUGUCGGUGGUCCCAACAACAGCAGCCGUGCCCCGCCGCGCCCCAACCGCCAGCGGUGCCGUCAUGUGGCAAGAGGCCCGCAAACACGAGCGCAAGCUCCGUGGUAUGAUGGUGGACUACAAACGCCGAGGAGAGCGCCGACGAGAAUACUACGAGAAGAUCAAAAAAGAUCCAGCUCAGUUUCUCCAGGUCCAUGGUCGAGCCUACAAGAUCCACCUGGAUCCUGCUGUGGCGUUAGCAGCUGAGAGCCCCAUCAACAUGAUGCCAUGGCAAGGAGAUGCCAACAACAUGAUUGACAGGUUUGAUGUAAGAGCUCAUCUGGACUACAUCCCCACCUACACACCUCCUCUGCUCAACACUUCCACCCAAGAGCAGGAAAUGGAGGAGAGAAAGUGUAACUAUGAACGCUACAGAGGCCUCGUGCAGAAUGACUUUGCAAACAUCUCUGAGGAGCAAUGUUUAUAUCAGAUCUAUCUGGAUGAACUUUACGGUGGCCUGCAGAAACCAAAUGAGGACGAGAAGAAAAAGCUGGCUGAGAAAAAGGCCACCAUUGGAUACACAUAUGAAGACAGCACGGUGACAGAGCCUGACCCCCAGUCAGACAAAGAUGAAGAGAACUCAGAGAACAGUGAAUCCGAAGAGGAUGAGGGAAUCCCCGAUAUUGAUGUGGAGGUUGAUGUUGAUGAGCUGAACCAGGAACAGGAGUUGGACCUAAACAAGAUAGCGACACCAUAUGGAAUGGCUGAAGGAGACUUUGUCAGGAUGUUGAGGAAAGACAAGGAGGAAGUGGAAGCCAUUAAACAUGCCAAGGCUCUGGAGGCUGAGAAGGCCAUGUACUCUGGCCGACGUUCUCGCAGACAAAGGAGAGAGUUCAGAGAGAAGAGGCUUAAAGGUCGACAGAUCAGUCCACCAAGCUAUGCCAGGAGAGACAGCCCAACAUAUGAUCCCUACAAACGACCAGAGUCAGAAUCCAGCUCUGAGUCGCGGUCACGUUCCAGAUCUCCUGGCCCAGAGAAGAUCACCUUUAUCACCAGCUUCGGAGGCAGUGACGAGGAAGCUGCAGCAGCAACUCAAACACCCGCUCCUCACUCUGGCCACCCCCCCUCCAACUUGCAGCACCCCGCAGGUCAUAGCAGGGGCUCCCGGAGACGAAGGUCAUCAUCCAGUCGCUCCCCCUCCUCCUCCUCCCGCUCCUCAUCUCGGUCUUCCUCACGUUCAUCUUUCCGCUCGCGCCGAGCCCGACGAGGACGUGGGGCGAGGGAUGGGCGUCGCUCCCGAAGCCACUCCCGAUCAAGACGGCGUUCCAGAUCUCACUCCAGAAGUAGAGGAGGGAAUGGAGGAGCCGUAUCUUGGAGGAGACGUGACCGGACACGAUCACGAUCACGGUCUAACGACCGAGACAGAGAUCGGGAGAGAGACAGGGAUAGGAGACGAUACCCGGCACGCAGGCGAACAAGGUCGCGUUCCAGCUCACGGCAGGGGGGCAGUUCCAGGCGAGGGGGCCGGAGCAGUGGAGACCACCGACGGGUAGACAGUGGCAGCCGCAGCCCCUCUCAGUCCCCUGGCCGCCCAAACCACAGUCCCUCCCCUGCUCACAGAGGGGCCCAGCCCUCUACCACCUCUAUCGCUGACAAGCUAAGAAAGCCUGAUACUGCGGGUGGUAAAGAGACGGGAGCUGCCAAAGUCACCCAAGAUGACGCCACAGGAGCGACUGAAGCUAAAAAUGCAGAAGGCGCUCAACAGGCAGUCCAAGGCGGAUAAAAAAGCUGCUCAGGUGAAGGUCCAGCAGCAGGAGAACAAACGUCAGGAGCGAGAGGGAGAAUUAAGAGCCAUGGCACGCAAGAUACGCAUGAACGGUUCUGUGUGUAGGGAGCGUGAGCGCCGUGAGAAAGAGAGAGAUGAAUGGGAAAGACAGUACGGGAGACAAAGCCACUCGCCUUCACCUUCCAAAUAUGGCCGAGAACACAACUCACACAGAAGGAGGUCACGGUCUCGAUCACGGAGUCCUCCCUACAGAUACUGAGCUCACACACGCAGAAGAUGGGCAUAGAUGAAACGAUAAAUCACGAACCUCGGAUACUGUCAGAGGGUAAAACAUUGAUCUGAUACCUUAGUUUCACUGAUCGCACAGCUGAUUGGAUCAGCCGAGAUGACUUUGAUCUGCCAUUUUCAGUUUUGCUUCAUCUUGUAAAGAAUCAUCUUAUUAAAUGAGUUUCUUCUCCUCGG